RNAcentral lists this ribosomal RNA (774 nucleotides) under uncultured bacterium. RNAcentral describes it as "bacterial SSU rRNA". It matches the Rfam family "Bacterial small subunit ribosomal RNA", at positions 51 to 838 of the family's 1533-position model. The record is from RNAcentral.
ACACAUGCAAGUCGAACGAGAGAGAGGGAGCUUGCUUCCUCAAUCGAGUGGCGAACGGGUGAGUAACGCGUGAGGAACCUGCCUCAAAGAGGGGGACAACAGUUGGAAACGACUGCUAAUACCGCAUAAGCCCACAGGUCGGCAUCGACCAGAGGGAAAAGGAGCAAUCCGCUUUGAGAUGGCCUCGCGUCCGAUUAGCUAGUUGGUGAGGUAAUGGCCCACCAAGGCAACGAUCGGUAGCCGGACUGAGAGGUUGAACGGCCACAUUGGGACUGAGACACGGCCCAGACUCCUACGGGAGGCAGCAGUGGGGAAUAUUGCACAAUGGGGGAAACCCUGAUGCAGCGACGCCGCAUGGAGGAAGAAGGUCUUCGGAUUGUAAACUCCUGUUGUUGAGGAAGAUAAUGACGGUACUCAACAAGGAAGUGACGGCUAACUACGUGCCAGCAGCCGCGGUAAAACGUAGGUCACAAGCGUUGUCCGGAAUUACUGGGUGUAAAGGGAGCGCAGGCGGGAAGACAAGUUGGAAGUGAAAUCUAUGGGCUCAACCCAUAAACUGCUUUCAAAACUGUUUUUCUUGAGUAGUGCAGAGGUAGGCGGAAUUCCCGGUGUAGCGGUGGAAUGCGUAGAUAUCGGGAGGAACACCAGUGGCGAAGGCGGCCUACUGGGCACCAACUGACGCUGAGGCUCGAAAGUGUGGGUAGCAAACAGGAUUAGAUACCCUGGUAGUCCACACCGUAAACGAUGGUUACUAGGUGUUGGAGGAUUGACCCC